RNAcentral lists this ribosomal RNA (451 nucleotides) under uncultured Sphingobacteriales bacterium. Its description in RNAcentral is "bacterial SSU rRNA". It matches the Rfam family "Bacterial small subunit ribosomal RNA", at positions 930 to 1382 of the family's 1533-position model. The record is from RNAcentral. Lineage: Bacteria; Pseudomonadati; Bacteroidota; Sphingobacteriia; Sphingobacteriales.
CGGAGGAGCAUGUGGUUUAAUUCGAUGAUACGCGAGGAACCUUACCUGGGCUUGAAAGUUAGUGACAUUCUGUGAAAGCAGAACUUCCGCAAGGACACGAAACUAGGUGCUGCAUGGCUGUCGUCAGCUCGUGCCGUGAGGUGUUGGGUUAAGUCCCGUAACGAGCGCAACCCCUAUCAUUAGUUGCCAUCAGGUCAUGCUGGGGACUCUAAUGAGACUGCCCGCGCAAGCGGUGAGGAAGGUGGGGACGACGUCAAGUCAUCACGGCCCUUACGUCCAGGGCUACACACGUGCUACAAUGGUAGAUACAGCAGGUUGCCACAUGGUAACAUGGAGCUAAUCCCAAAAGUCUAUCUCAGUUCGGAUUGAGGUCUGCAACUCGACCUCAUGAAGCUGGAUUCGCUAGUAAUCGAAAAUCAGCAAUGUUUCGGUGAAUACGUUCCCGGGCCUU